This 400-nucleotide ribosomal RNA is filed under the name uncultured bacterium. Its description in RNAcentral is "bacterial SSU rRNA". It matches the Rfam family "Bacterial small subunit ribosomal RNA", at positions 29 to 406 of the family's 1533-position model. The record is from RNAcentral.
AACGAACGCUGGCGGCGUGGAUAAGACAUGCAAGUCGAACGCUGAUUUCAGGGUAGCAAUAUUCUGAAGUCGGAGUGGCGCAAGGGUGCGUAACACGUGGGCAAUCUACCGUGAAGUUGGGGAUAACUUGCUGAAAGGCAAGCUAAUACCGAAUGUGAAAAUUAUGAGGCAUCUCUAGAUUUUCAAAGUUGGGGACCGCAAGGCCUGACGCUUCACGAUGAGCCUGCGGCCUAUCAGCUAGUUGGUGAGGUAACGGCUCACCAAGGCUAAGACGGGUAGCUGGUCUGAGAGGACGACCAGCCUCACUGGAACUGAGACACGGUCCAGACACCUACGGGUGGCAGCAGUCGAGUAAUUUUUCACAAUGGGCGAAAGCCUGAUGGAGCGACGCCGCGUGGGG